CCACUUCCUACCAGGGGUUUAAUUUCCGUUUGACUUCCGGCCCGCCGCGAUGCUUCGUUAACUCUGGGGAGGGAGGAGAUGUCGCUAAAUAUGGUUUAAAUUUGUUACAGCAAGGCGUUGAUCUGCCAAGCACACCUCUGCCUCUGACAGCUUCUCCCCAUGCUGACCACCAAUAGACAAUGCCCACCAUGAAAGCUGCCGUUGAUGGGCUCCUGGCCAAGCACCACAUGGAGAAAGACAUCCUGAAGGGGGUGGAUGGGACAUACAGCUCUGCUACAGCUAAACGAAUUUGCUAAUGUUUUAUUGCACCAUAUAGUAUUGUUUUUUUCUCCAUACAAUAUCUAGGCUAACUGUGCCUCAAAGUUGUUGGAUUCCCACAAGGUCUCAGACUCCAGGAUGGGUAAAUGCUUACAACAAAGAAACAGAUGAAGACCUAGAGUUGUCGAUUUCCAUUGUUACUUGUAAUGUUAAAAAGGGAAGAAAAAGACAAUCCUAUUUUUCUAAAUUAGCUAACUAGACUACUACACACAACCACUAGAAUAGUUAUGUUUUAUGUUAUUGAGUAGGCCUAUAUCAUCAUUUCAUCUAAUGAAUCAAAUUAUUAAUCUAACAGAAAUCCUCGUCAUUUUGUAAAAUGUAAGGGCUUUUUACAUGUUGCAAUAAAGUUGACUAAAGGAGAAGCUCA
This is a long non-coding RNA of Salmo salar (Atlantic salmon), 685 nucleotides long. RefSeq lists it as uncharacterized. NCBI's taxonomy places the organism in Eukaryota, Metazoa, Chordata, Actinopteri, Salmoniformes, Salmonidae. The record is from RefSeq and is a predicted model, not a curated record.